RNAcentral lists this ribosomal RNA (253 nucleotides) under uncultured bacterium. Its description in RNAcentral is "partial 16S ribosomal RNA". It matches the Rfam family "Bacterial small subunit ribosomal RNA", at positions 524 to 776 of the family's 1533-position model. The record is from RNAcentral.
UACGUAGGGUGCAAGCGUUGUCCGGAAUUAUUGGGCGUAAAGAGCUCGUAGGCGGUCUGUCGCGUCUGCUGUGAAAAUCCAGGGCUCAACCCUGGACCUGCAGUGGGUACGGGCAGACUAGAGUGCGGUAGGGGAGAUCGGAAUUCCUGGUGUAGCGGUGAAAUGCGCAGAUAUCAGGAGGAACACCGAUGGCGAAGGCAGGUCUCUGGGCCACUACUGACGCUGAGAAGCGAAAGCAUGGGGAGCGAACAGG